Long non-coding RNA from Microtus ochrogaster (prairie vole), 633 nucleotides. RefSeq lists it as uncharacterized. Lineage: Eukaryota; Metazoa; Chordata; Mammalia; Rodentia; Cricetidae. The record is from RefSeq and is a predicted model, not a curated record. The transcript is spliced from 7 exons.
AGCUCAACAUGAAUGCAUCACUGAGAAGCACAGAGAAAUGAUAGUGAAUAUAAUGAGACCAGCAACUACUUCAAGGUUCAAUGGCAACAAGGAAGCAUUAUGAAGUUCAGGGGUCAAAGAAUGAUUGAUGAGAAAGACCUACUCCAGAAGUCUCUACAGGGAAUGACUAAGACCAGGAAAUAUGUGAAUGAAGACUACUCAGACCAACAUUUUUCACCAUAUAUUAUACAAAAGCCAUACUCUAAAGAUGCAUUGGAAACAUUAUGGACGGUGCCAUCUCUUCCACCAGCAGAUUCCUCAAGACAGUCGUCACUAUACUUGCUGAUGUCUCUUUCCUGUGUAGCAGCAGACACCAUCUGCAGAUAAGAAAUGCUUAACUGAGAAAUGCUCAUGUUGGGAUAUCAUCGAUGAAACUUUAAUUUGUUAAAGGCUUGAAGAGGUACUUAUGCUUGGGGGAAAACAGGAUGUAGGAGGAGUUCUUGCAUUGGCCACUUCCCACCUCUUCAACUCUUAUGUCUUCAAGAAUUGGUCUACAGAGCUCACAGAGAUAUCAUCUGGACGGCUGAAGAGUACAUUUGUGCAAGGGUGUCAAGCAAUCCAUAAAGUGCCAAGCUGAGGUUUAAGUGACCACUU